This is a long non-coding RNA of Oncorhynchus tshawytscha (Chinook salmon), 266 nucleotides long. RefSeq lists it as uncharacterized. The transcript has 3 exons. NCBI's taxonomy places the organism in Eukaryota, Metazoa, Chordata, Actinopteri, Salmoniformes, Salmonidae. The record is from RefSeq and is a predicted model, not a curated record.
AAAGCACCCCCCUCCUCCUCCCGCAAUGGCCCGCGCCCUUCUCUGCUGCUUCUGGAAGAGAAGAGUGCACUCACUCACUGUACAUCUUUUCGACGCCGCUAUCAUUUCUUUCCUCAUAAAGGAAUCAAAAUGAUGGUUUUUAGGGUUCAAACCCACGUUUUUUAUAGGAACAUCCUAAAUGAAUCGAAAGGCAUCUCUAACAAACUGCUCUGCGACACAAAGCAAGCCACUCCCUAAGAAAAUUUGCGUGAGUGUAUAUCAGUUCA